CAUAAUUGACCUAAGAAGUAGAAUAAUGAUGAUAUAAGUGAUGAUAGUAGUAGUAGAUGAGU
RNAcentral lists this small RNA (62 nucleotides) under Plasmodium falciparum 3D7. RNAcentral describes it as "Pfa-starR353". The record is from RNAcentral. Lineage: Eukaryota; Apicomplexa; Aconoidasida; Haemosporida; Plasmodiidae.